GUUUAUACAAUUCCUGUCCAGGUCUAGGAACGAUGGUAAUAGACAUCACAAAUACUGGACUAGUCUUCAGCGAUCAGAUCUCCUGGAAACCGAGUGGAUGGGCGAGUAAGAUUGAUCACGUGACACGAAUUAAUAAUCAAGUUAUAGAAGGACGUUGUGAUGGAUAUUGCGGUGGCUGUAUGCCUGUAUCACCAAUAACCUUUGAAUUGGAUUCCAGUUAUGUUCAUAAUUGGAGUGAGGCUACAGUUGUGAGCUGUGGUGCGACAUGAUUCUUAGAUAAUAAUUAACUUAUCCAGGCCAUAAUCAACACUCGAUGGCAUCGGAUUAGAACAGUUCAGCGAUAUUCUGAUUUAAGCUAAAA
Patella vulgata (common limpet) is the source of this 361-nucleotide long non-coding RNA. RefSeq lists it as uncharacterized. NCBI's taxonomy places the organism in Eukaryota, Metazoa, Mollusca, Gastropoda, Patellidae. The transcript is spliced from 3 exons. The record is from RefSeq and is a predicted model, not a curated record.